UACGUAGGGGGCAAGCGUUGUUCGGAAUUACUGGGCGUAAAGGGCGCGUAGGCGGCACAGCAAGUCGGGAGUGAAAGCACGGGGCUCAACCCCGGAACUGCUUUCGAAACUGCUGAGCUAGAGUACAGAAGGGGCAACCGGAAUUCCCAGUGUAGCGGUGAAAUGCGUAGAUAUUGGGAAGAACACCUGAGGCGAAGGCGGGUUGCUGGGCUGAUACUGACGCUGAGGCGCGAAAGCCAGGGGAGCAAACGGG
Molecule: ribosomal RNA, 253 nt
Filed under: uncultured bacterium
Lineage: Bacteria
Description: partial 16S ribosomal RNA
Rfam family: Bacterial small subunit ribosomal RNA
Source: RNAcentral